Molecule: ribosomal RNA, 510 nt
Filed under: Dacrymyces ovisporus
Lineage: Eukaryota; Fungi; Basidiomycota; Dacrymycetes; Dacrymycetales; Dacrymycetaceae
Description: partial small subunit ribosomal RNA
Rfam family: Bacterial small subunit ribosomal RNA
Source: RNAcentral
AUGGAGCUAACUAGAAUUCUUUAGUGUCUAUGCACUAAGAAGUAUGUAAUAAAGGAAAAUGACGCGAUAUUACGAAGAGUACAGACUAAUGGCCGUGCCAGCAGUUGCGGUAAAACGGCUUGUACAAACGUUAAUCUUCUUUAAUAGGCAUAAAGGGUUCGCGGGCGGCUUUCUUUUUAUGGGGAGAGCUUGAAUCAAAUAGAGGAUAAAUACAACACUUGGAUCAGGGCCGAUAUCCUUAUACCCCAAGGUGAGUGUUAAAUGCGAAGGCAAUUAUCUGGUAAUGAUUGACGCUGAGGAACUAAGGUUUGGGUCGGGAACAGGAUUAGGUACCCAGGUACUCCUUACAGUCAACGAUGAAUGUUAGAUGUUAAUUGUAUUCAAUUAGUGUCAAUGUGAAAAAUACGUUAAACAUUCCGCCUUGUCAGUAUACUUGCAAAAGUGAAAACAAAAAAAUUAGUCGGUUUCGGAGCAAACGAAGUGAAGCAUGUUGUUUAAUACGAUAAUCCG